CAAAAGAAUGAAUUUCCUACUUCAUUAGUGAAUGAAAUGUUUAUGAAAAAAUGGAUUUUGUCUUAAUAUUAUAUAAAUUCAGGCAUAUACUUUAUUUUUUUUAAAUUCAUGCUCGUCUCUAGAUCUGCAAGUUUUGAUCGGGAUUAAACACGUGUUACGUUAUGAUCCAAUCGCAGCUUACCGCCCAAAAUUGAUGAAAUAAGUUGAAUGAUUUUCUUCUAGAUUUGCUGCUUAUUUGGACGUGUAUUACAUGAACACCUUUUGUUUAUAGGAUCAAUCGUGCAUUGGUGAGUUGAUAGGGAUUUUAUCUUUUGAUACGAUUUGAUUUUUAUUUAUUUAUUUCCUGUCUUAUUUUUAUUGAAAUAUACACGUCAGUAUCAUCAUUUCCUUACUCUCAGUGUUGUCCAAAAUACUAUUCAUGUCCAUAUAUUGAAAAAAAAAACAGUUAUUGACCGAAUAUUUUGCUUCAUAAAGGGGGCGGUAUGUUCUUUUUUGAGUAUAUUAACAAUAUACUUUUCAACUCCAGCA
This 528-nucleotide long non-coding RNA is filed under the name Mytilus galloprovincialis (Mediterranean mussel). The record is from RNAcentral. Lineage: Eukaryota; Metazoa; Mollusca; Bivalvia; Mytilida; Mytilidae.